UACGAAGGGGGCUAGCGUUGCUCGGAAUCACUGGGCUUAAAGGGCGCGUAGGCGGGCUGGCCAGUCUGUGGUGAAAUCCCCCGGCUUAACCGGGGAACUGCCGUGGAUACUGCCAGUCUCGAGGAGGGUAGGGGCAUCUGGAACAGCCGGUGGAGCGGUGAAAUGCGUUGAUAUCGGCUGGAACUCCGGUGGCGAAGGCGAGAUGCUGGACCCUUUCUGACGCUGAGGCGCGAAAGCCAGGGGAGCGAACGGG
This 253-nucleotide ribosomal RNA is filed under the name uncultured bacterium. RNAcentral's name for it is "partial 16S ribosomal RNA". It matches the Rfam family "Bacterial small subunit ribosomal RNA", at positions 524 to 776 of the family's 1533-position model. The record is from RNAcentral.